RNA transcript from Eriocheir sinensis (Chinese mitten crab), 1717 nucleotides. RefSeq lists it as uncharacterized. The record is from RefSeq and is a predicted model, not a curated record. Lineage: Eukaryota; Metazoa; Arthropoda; Malacostraca; Decapoda; Varunidae. The transcript is spliced from 4 exons.
GUCAUUUUCUUCCUUGGACAUGUCUAGCGCUUUUACAAUGUCGUCAUUUUCUUCCUCGGACAUGUCCAACGGUUUGACUAGGUCGUUGUUUUCAGCCUUGGUAAUGUCCAGCGCUUUCACUAGGUCGUUGUUUUCAGCCUUGGAAAUGUCCAGCGCUUUCACAAGGUCGGAUUUUUCAGCCUUGGAAAUGUCAAGCGUUUUCACAAGGUCGUUGUUUUCAGCCUUGGUAAUGUCCAGCGUUUUCACAAGGUCGUUGUUUUCAGCCUUGGUAAUGUCCAGCGUUUUCACAAGGUCGGAUUUUUCAGCCUUGGUAAUGUCAAGCGCUUUCACAAGGUCGGAUUUUUCAGCCUUGGUAAUGUCCAGCGUUUUCACAAGGUCUUUGUUUUCAGCCUUGGUAAUGUCAAGCGCUUUCACAAGGUCGGAUUUUUCAGCCUUGGUAAUGUCCAGCGUUUUCACAAGGUCUUUGUUUUCAGCCUUGGUAAUGUCAAGCGCUUUCACAAGGUCGGAUUUUUCAGCCUUGGUAAUGUCCAGCGUUUUCACAAGGUCUUUGUUUUCAGCCUUGGUAAUGUCCAGCGUUUUCACAAGGUCGGAUUUUUCAGCCUUGGUAAUGUCAAGCGCUUUCACAAGGUCGGAUUUUUCAGCCUUGGUAAUGUCAAGCGUUUUCACAAGGUCGGAUUUUUCAGCCUUGGUAAUGUCAAGCGCUUUCACAAGGUCGUUGUUUUCAGCCAUGGUAAUGUCCAGCGCUUUCACAAGGUCGUUGUUUUCUGCCAUGGUAAUGUCCAGCGCUUUCACAAGGUCGUUGUUUUCUGCCAUGGUAAUGUCCAGCGCUUUCACAAGGUCGUUGUUUUCUGCCAUGGUAAUGUCCAGCGCUUUCACAAGGUCGUUGUUUUCUGCCAUGGUAAUGUCCAGCGUUUUCACAAGGUCGUUGUUUUCAGCCUUGGUAAUGUCCAGCGUUUUCACAAGGUCGUUGUUUUCAGCCUUGGUAAUGCCCAGCGCUUUGACAAUUUCGGAUUUUUCAUCGUUUGAGAUGGCUUGCGCUUUCACAAGGUCGUUAUUCUCAGCCCGGCAAGUGAUCAGCUCUUUGACCAAACCAUUAUUUUCUUCCCAGGAUAAGGAGACGACUUCUUGCAGCCUGUCAGUUUCUUUCCUAGCGUUAGUCAGGUCACGGAGCAGGCCGUUGUUUUCUUCCCGGAAUGAGAACACGACUUUUCGCAUCCUGUGAAUGAUCUUCCCAGCCUUAUACAGGUCGUUUAGCAGGACGUUAUUUUCGCGUCGCAGUAAGUACAGGUCAUCGAGGAGCCCGCUGUUUUCUUCCUCCAGGGCUGACCUGUGCUGUUCUUGGUGCCUCCAAGCCGCUUGUUGGGCCAGCAGCGCCCUGUGUAGGACGCUGGCUUCAUCUGUGGCCUGCAGCAGGAGGACGCCCAGGAGGGCGUUUUGUCUGGCCAGGUCCUGCAUGGCCAGCUGUGUUCGCUCCUGCUCGGCCAGCAGACCGGCAGUCACCCACGCCUUUUGGGCCGGUGGUCCUCCGUCCCCAGACGCGGCGGCGGGCAGCUCCUCGGCGGGCGGGGUUGUGGGGCCGAACCCGAUGCUCUCUAGGAGCAGACUGGUGACGAGGGCCCACCACAGCACCGCCAGAACAACGUCGAGGCGCAUCGUGAUAAUGAAAAUUGAAGUACAGCUGAAUAUAAAUAAGUGCGGAAGUGAGAGACAACGAAGG